CCUACGGGUGGCAGCAGUGAGGAAUAUUGGUCAAUGGACGAGAGUCUGAACCAGCCAAGUAGCGUGAAGGAUGACUGCCCUAUGGGUUGUAAACUUCUUUUAUAUGGGAAUAAAAUGUUCCACGUGUGGGAUUUUGUAUGUACCAUAUGAAUAAGGAUCGGCUAACUCCGUGCCAGCAGCCGCGGUAAUACGGAGGAUGCGAGCGUUAUCCGGUUUUAUUGGGGUUAAAGGGAGCGCAGGUGGAUUGUUAAGGCAGUUGUGAAAGUUUGCGGCUCAACCGUAAAAUUGCAGUUGAAACUGGCAGUCUUGAGUAUAGUAGAGGUGGGCGGAAUUCGUGGUGUAGCGGUGAAAUGCUUAGAUAUCACGAAGAACUCCGAUUGCGAAGGCAGUUCACUGGACUGCAACUGACACUGAGGCUCGAAAGUGUGGGUAUCAAACAGGAUUAGAUACCCUAGUAGUC
This 460-nucleotide ribosomal RNA is filed under the name uncultured bacterium. RNAcentral's name for it is "partial 16S ribosomal RNA". It matches the Rfam family "Bacterial small subunit ribosomal RNA", at positions 338 to 795 of the family's 1533-position model. The record is from RNAcentral.